AGCUAGUUGGUGAGGUAACGGCUCACCAAGGCGACGAUACAUAGCCGACCUGAGAGGGUGAUCGGCCACACUGGGACUGAGACACGGCCCAGACUCCUACGGGAGGCAGCAGUAGGGAAUCUUCGGCAAUGGGGGGAACCCUGACCGAGCAACGCCGCGUGAGUGAAGAAGGUUUUCGGAUCGUAAAGCUCUGUUGUAAGAGAAGAACGGGUGUGAGAGU
Molecule: ribosomal RNA, 220 nt
Filed under: Streptococcus sanguinis
Lineage: Bacteria; Bacillati; Bacillota; Bacilli; Lactobacillales; Streptococcaceae
Description: partial 16S ribosomal RNA
Rfam family: Bacterial small subunit ribosomal RNA
Source: RNAcentral